Molecule: long non-coding RNA, 308 nt
Organism: Dermacentor silvarum
Lineage: Eukaryota; Metazoa; Arthropoda; Arachnida; Ixodida; Ixodidae
Exons: 2
Source: RefSeq, a predicted model, not a curated record
AGCAGACUUGCAUUUCUGGUCUGUGCUAAAGAAGAUCCCCAUUUGAAAUCUUUUCCUGAACAGAGGUGGAUAAUAUUUUGGUGUCGCUAUGUGGCUCACCGCCAACAAAAGCAAAGCGAUCACACAACCUUAACAAUUCUUCACGAUGGAUGUAAACGGAUUUAGCAGCCUCUACAGUGCUACCAAGGCGAACUUCUUCCCCCGCAGGUCAUUGCAAUCUACACAGGUCUCAUAUUAGCACUUCUUAAUGCUUAAUGAUCAGUAGCGCUUAACUUAUGAAGGUAUGCUAAUGCUAAAAAAAAAGCAAA